CAAUUUGUGAGCUAAUAGGGAAAAAGAGAGAAAGAGGUUAUAGGUAAGCCAAGCGUGAGCAAAGUAACAUAUCUGAGCUCUUAGUGGUUCAACCCUUUCCUCUCCCAAUAAUGUUUUCUAAUUAAUGUAUUAUUAUAUACACAUGUUCUCUAUCUGUUUAAUUAGUUCAUAUAGAGAGAGUGGGUUACAGUGAGAAUUGUAGAGAGAGAUUUGGAAGAGCAAUCAGAGGCAAGGAGGAGAUUGAGCAAGUCUUCUUCAUCAUGUAAUUAAGUUAAGGAAGGUUCAAGAGGUACGAAAGAAAUUCUAGAAUUCUUAAUCUUCCUUCCUUUAGUUUUUUGUUCGAACUUGUUUCGGUUGUUUAAGAUGAAGAAAAAUCAAUUGUGUAAUUUCAAUUGAUGGAUAAAUGGUUAGACGAUUUGAUAACAGCAUACACAUGAAAUCAAAGUAAGCAAAUUUCACUUUGUGUGUAAAGGGGAAGGAAUAGACUGUUGGUCUGAUUGUAGAAAUUUUGGGUCUAUUUUAUGGGCAAAAUUAGUUGUGAUCAUAUGUCAUGAUUUGAAGGUUGUAUGUUAUACUCCUCUGAAAUACGAGAACAACCCAAUUUGAAUGAACCAAAUCAAAGUUAAAACGAAUUCAUGGUGAAAGAUUUCGUAAAAGAUGUCAAACAAAAAAAUGUAGCAUGAACAUUGAAAUUGAACUCUUAGAAUGGUUUGUUAGAGUUUCUGAGAUGUUCAAAUUACUCUGUAGAGAUAUACUUCUAUGUUUGACGAAUUUAUUGAGUCAAAAACAAAUCAAUUUGGACUUUGGAUGAAGAAGUUGUGAAUUUUAGAAGAAGCAGAGUCUGAAAUCGCGAACUGGGAAAACUGGUUCUGCAGUCGAGCGCUGUCGCAACGCUUUUGAGCGCGACCGCGCUGUGUCUAGAGUAAAAUGGGCGCGACAGCACUAGUAGCAGAUCAUGCCUAGUGAUGAGCUUUUAAAUGUAUAUGGUUCAUGGGGAAGUUUUUGGAAUUGAUUUAAUAAACAUACUUAACUAUUAAGCAUGUAAUAUGAUAUAAUACUAAGCUUUAAUCGUCUAAUUGAAUGUUAUGGUUAUAUAAUCAACCUAAGAAAUGUUAUGUGGAUAACAUAAUGAUCUAGUAAACCUUAAACACUUAUUAAAUGGCUAAGUGUUGGUUAAAAGAUAGAGAAUUAUGGAUCGUAGUAUGGAGUUAAUGAAAGCAUGUAGUAAGUGUCGAUAUAUGACUAAUUGUUAUGUCUACGUGAUUUGAAUGUGUAGGAUAUACGCAAAGAAGUUAAGCUAUACGUUGUAAUCAACGCGACAUGUUAGUGUCACAAUUUAUUUAUGUGGAUUUGUAAAUUGAUAUGAGUUAACCAUUAGCAUGACUUAUGUUUAUCAGUAGGUGAAUACCCAUGAAAUGCAUUACUUGCUAUGUGAAUGACCAAAGUCAACUUAUGUAAUGCCCCCAAAUUCGGGUCCCUUGAACCUCGGACCUGGUACAUCACGGUACGUCACGGUACUAACUUCAUUCUAAUAUAUAUAACCUUUGUUCAUAAAGUAAUGAACACAACCUGGCUUUUAUACUAAUUAAUACAUUAUUCUCUUUUAUUCCAGAAUCUGUAAACCUUUACAAUCGGUUAUUACAUCUGUAGAUAGUUCAUGAUCUAUCUAUACAUCUUAAACUAUAAAUAAUAUGUUUCAUAACGAGAUAUUAACUUGCGAGUAUUCAUUAACUCUCAAUUCAAUUUAAAAUAUUCUUUUGUGUAGAGUAUUUCAACUCAACAUCUACAAUAUAUAAUAUUAACAUUCAUCUAGCUUAAUUGGAAACUUCGCAAUCAAGUGUUUUGACAUAAAAACUUACUAUGUAUAAUUACUCUAAAGAAAUUACAACAAUUCGUUAGUGUAUUAUUAAAACACCAACCAUCUUCAAUCACUAUUUCUUCUUGUGAUCCUUCGUCUAUUCUGAAGUCUUUGACGCUAUGGUCAUCUAUUUAUAUCAACUUUUAUCUGCAAAAUUUGUUUGCAAGGUUGAGUACGACGGCUCAGCAAGUCCAACAGUCUACACAUUUCUUGCUUCACAUAGCAUACAAAUUUCAUAUAUUCAUGCAUCAAAAAUUAUAGUCAAUGCAUCUACACAUGCUUCAUGCAUCUCUAUAUGCAUCAUACAUUUCAUGAUAUGCAUCUUUAUAUGCAUCAUACUUAUCAUACUAUAUAUACAAUAUAAUCUUUACAUUGUAUAUUUAACCCAUACUUCACAAAUUCCAUGCUUUCCAUUUAGUCACAUAACAUUUAUGUAAUCAACGAUUUCACAUAAAGCAACAUAUAUCAUUAACUACCAUAAACAUGGUUUAAUACACAUUAUCACAUAAGAGAAAGUUACUGAAGAACUUGCCUCAAAGCGUUCCUUGCGCUGUUAGGAGAAUUCGUCUUUCCAUUGUCCUACACGAUUAAGGGUAUAUAUAACCGCCAUUAGCCACAUAAUGACGUUUGGUAGUCAUUUAUGUUAAUUCUACUUUAUUUUUCAUCAUUCUUUCUUCUUAAAUCUUGAUACACAAUGCUUUAAUCAUGUGUUUAAAACUUACUAGAACACUUUAUUGUCCAUUUGAUUUAUUUACAUAAAAUUUUCUUCGAAUGAUAAGCUACAUCCUCCAUGAGAAUUUAAUUGAUUAGGUUAAUCAUCACCUCGUAAUUAAAUCUAAUAAUAAUUCUUAAAAUCUCGUCUAUUAUUAUUAAUCACUCUACAAAUAUUAUUAAUCAUUUAAUAAUAUUUCAAUCAGUUACUAAUAUUAUUAAUCACUUAAUAAUAUCUUAAUAACUUACAAAUAUUAUUAAUCAUUUAAUAAUAUUUUAUUUACUUACUAAUAUUAUUAAUCCUUUAAUAAUAUUUUAAUCACUUACUAAUAUUAUUAAUUCUUUAAUAAUAUUUUAAUCAUUUACUAAUAUUAUUAAUCAUUUAAUAAUAUUAUUAAUCAUUUAUAAAAAAAUUUAAUUUAAUUGUUUAUCUCUUACUAUUUAAUUUAUUUAACACGCACAUCGUGCCAUUCUUAUAUUAUUUUAUUAAAAAUGACCAUAUAUUACCCUCAUAAAGUCUUAAUACAUCAUAUUAAUGAUUAUUAGUCAAUAAAAUCACCUUAUAGAAUUUUAUAACUUAAUUUUCUUAUUUAUUCUUAACACAUUCAUAGGUAUUAAAAAUACCUAAUCAAAUUAUUAUUUUCCUAUCUCCUGAAAAACUUCAAUAUAUAAUAUUUUACUCACAAAAUAAUUUUCCUGGAAUUUUUUAUUUUCCUCAAGUAUUUUUCAAAAAAAUGUUUUUAGUUCGUAACUUAGGAAAGUUAGUAUGCCAUGCUCAACUCUUGGAAAAAUCUUACACGUAUUAACAUGAACUUCCAGUUUAAAUUUCGUGACCAUCGGAGUUAUAGAACUCCAAUUAUAGACGUUUUCGUCGGAAAAACCCAAAAAUUGAAAUUGUCAUAACUCGAUCAAUAUAUGUCCGAAUAAGAUCAUCUUUGGACAUGAGCUACUUUAUAUCAUAUAUUUUCAUGUAACAAAAGGCCGGAAUUUAUCUCAAUAAUUAAAUGGCCAAAAAUGCCCCUGCAAAGUUUUGGAUAGUUUGUUUUUUAGUAUUUCCAAAUUUUGCCUUCUUUGCUAAAAACUGUCCAACCAAAAAUCUAGAAGGAAUAUUUCUGUGAUUCCACUUGGAGAUGUUAUAAGACUCAUAGAACUAACUCCAAAAAUUGACCACAUUAAAAAAUGCAAAAUAGAAUGAGAGAUAUGAUCGCUCGAAUUUCAUGUUUCGUUUUCUAGAAAAUCAGUUUUUCUAUCCUUUAUGAUUUCAAAGAAAACUUCCAUGAUCUCUUAGUUAAUCAAACAUUAUCCAUCAUAAAUCAACAUAAUACAUCCUAAUACUUCUUAUACUAAAGGAUCUACCAUGAUCCAUGAUUAAUUUCAUCAAACUUUUACCAUAACCAAGCAAAACAUACUAUAAACCAAGAAAAUUACAAAGUUAGGUUAGAGAGCUUUUAAACCUUCUAUGAUUGGAUGAUGGAUGAUCGUUUAUGGUAGUUUAGCUUGCUAGAUCUUCUCCUUCUUAGCCUCUACCUCCAACCAUGGCCUUUCUCCUUCCUUUCCCUCUUAAGCUCCCAUACUUUCUCUAGGGUUUUGGGUGAGAGUGAGGGAGAAAACCUAUGGUUUUUUCUUUUCUUCUUCCUCUUCUUUCUUUUUCCUCUCUCCUCUUUUUCCCCCUCAUCCAUGGCUACCCUCUCUCUCUCAUUUCUUUCUUAAUGGGUGGGUGUGGAGCUUCGAAUGAGAGAAGAUUGCUCUGUUUUAUUUCCUUUUCUUUAGUUAAAAGAAUUAAAGAUUUAAUAUUAAAGAAAGUGGAUAACUAGAUCCACUUUUUAAGGAGAGUUAGUGAGAGUUGUUGGGGGAGUUGGUGGCUUCCCAUGUGCUGGAAUUUCCAGGAGAUUUUGGUCAAGUGGGUCCCGCUAUUAUUGCCUCAUUUUGCGUGCUUAAUCCCGUCUUUGACUUUUGGACCCGAAAAAUCAAAUUUACAAGUUUAUAGUCGAUUCCUACUAAUGUCGAAACUCCCAACGUCAUGGACAUAUCCGUUUCUUCAAAUUCAUCUCCGAAUUUGAAGUUUGACUUUUCUCCAUAAAAGUCAAUUGUUCACUUUGACCAAAAAAUCAACCCCGACACAUUUUGUGUUUAUAGUCUAUUCUUACUAAUUUUGACGUUCCGGACUCAAAUAUCUAAUCCACGUCAUCCACUCAUAUCUCCGAUUUUGACUUUUCUCCUCAAAAAUCAAUUGUUGACUUUGACCAAAAAGUCAUCAUCAACACAUUUUGUGUUUAAAACCCUUUAUGACUAAACUUGACGUUCCGGAUGCAACCGAGCAGUCCGUGCUUUAAAAUUCUAUCUCUAACUCAAAUUUUGAGUUUUAACUUACUUUAUUUUUAUUGAUUAUUCAUAUUAGCUUAUCUUUUCAACUCUUAAAUAUUACAUCUUUCCACUCUUAUAAGGAUCCCAUGCCAGAAUCACUAUUCAUGUAACGUUCUAGUUUAGUUCACUACUGAACCCUUAUGAAAAUUUUCUCAUCGAUUAACUUUAUCGAAUUACCUUAACAUAGGUAUUACUUUACUACAUCUUUCAUUUAUUUAUUUUUCUAUCCAAUUCAUGGACAACAUCUAUUCUUAGCCCAAGUCUCAUCUGACUUGCUUCGGCUCAUUACUACCUACUGCUUAUUCUCAGGUAUUAAUAUCUUCAAUAUUUCUAUCAUUCACCUUCAAAUCUCUUUACCCUCUUUUAGAUAUUAAACCAUAUAGGUUUUUUUCAAAAAAUUUAACCAUUCCUCUAUUUUCAAAUCUAGAUUAUAUUCUUUAAACCUUCAUUUAAUUAGUUGAGACAAGUCUCAUAAAUUUAUUAUUCGAGACAAGUCUCAUAAAUUUUUGGGUUGUCACAACUUAUGACUAAUUUGUUUUGAGUUACUGAACUCAGUCUUCUGAAGCAUGUGAUAUAUGAUCAUUGAUAAGUUGAUAUUGCAUUGAUAACAUGCGAAAAGAUGAUUAAGUAUGAAUUGAAUAUGAAAUUAUGUGCUACGUGAUGCAUGAUAAGUUGUUAGACUUGUUGGGCUGUCGUGCUCAACUUGCUUAAUUUGCAGGUGAAAGUUAAGAUGAGAUAUUUUGUGAUCAAAAGUGCAUAAAAGGAAGGCUGGUUUUCUUAGUUGAGUUGGUAUUGGAUUAUGAUGUUAUUGUUUAUAUGUGUAAACAACAGAUGUGUUAAUCUUUAAAAUAUUCAGUAGAUGAAGAUUAUUUGCUGUGAAGUGGGAAGGUAUUAUGGGACUAUUUUGUAUGUAAAGAUUUCAUAGUUGAAUAGUCAAUGGCAAAGAUGUUAUGUAUUGAGAAUUGAGAGUUUGUAAUAAGUUUACUUUGAGUAAAUAAAUCAUAAAACAAAUGUGAUUGUGAAAUAAAGGAAUCGUGAAUGUUGAGAUUGAGGGAAUAGAAGAAAGAUAGAAAAUUUUAAAUUAUCCUAAAUUUCAGCAGUUUUUAACAUUGAAUGGUGAUGUAAAGCUAGUAUAAAAUAGUUGUUAACACACAAGGUCGGGAUUAAGUUAGUCUUGAUUUUUUUUGGGGUCGUUACAGUUGGUAUCAAAGUUGUAGGUUAUAAACCUUAGGUAGGCUAUAACCGUAGAGAGGAUGAUGAAGAGAAAAUGGACAGUCCUUAAGCGUAUGGACUGUCCUUAAUCUGUUCUUGGACUACAUCUGUGCAAAUCGUUUUAGCUAGACAAAAAUGAUUUGAAAUUAUCAAAAUGUAUUUUAAACGAUAAAGUCAUCAAUGGAGACUAAGCUAGUGCUGAAUGUGAUUAUAGAAUCAUCAACCUACUAUGGUAUGAUGUAGUAUGAAAAAAUCAUAAAAUGAUAGAAUCCUCAAUAUACUAUUAAGACAAUGCGGUAUCAUGACUGUAUAAAAUGAUUUUUGAUUUUCUUUCAGAAAAAGUACGUCAAUUGAGUUAGCUAAAUUAUUUCGAUUGAUAUCCAAAGUGUUGAUGAAAGUGUAAGCUAUUUGAUUUGGCUAGGCUAUUGAUGAAAUAUGUUUAUGAAAUUCCAACAUUCUUUGAGAAUUUUUGCCAAACCAGAUUGUUCUGGUGAGGAAUUUCUAUUAUGUCUGAGGUGAACCAACCCUGUAAUGGGGGGAAAUGUUAUCGAAAACUAUAAUUUCAAGCUACGCAAUAGUGAUAAUAUAUAUGUAUAUGCACAAUACAUAGUACGAAUGACUGAUCACCUGGGGUACGAGAAAAGAUGGUCCAUAGUCUUUUGACUAUUAAAGGUUACAGUUGAAAUAUUUGUUAACCUAGGACAAGGUUCAAAGUCUAUACGACUCCUCAACAUAAUAUCGAAAGUUUUAAAGGAAUCUUUUAAAUUCCUAAGUUAUUUAUACUGCUUCCCAAUUAUUGAACAAUUACGGAAUAUUCCUAUUAUUCUAAAAGGUGAUUGUAGGUUAGUCAUGCGACGAUCCUAAGUGAAUCCUUAAAAAGGAAAGUAUGUCGGGUAGUUGAAAACAUGUAUUGAGGAGUAAAUAUGAGCAAACCAUCGAAUGGGAUGAAAUUCCGAGGAAAAUAGAUGAAAUUCUCAGAAGAGUGAGAUGAAGUUAUCAAAGGAAAAGGCAAGAUUCUUAGAAGAAGGCAAUGAAAUGAUUUUAGAAAGAUCAUUGGGGAAGAAAUUUGGUCAUAGAACAUAAUGAGUGAAUAAAGAUUAAUAUAAAACUUUAUUUUGACAUAUCGAAUGAAAAAAAAAUUAGUAAGUUGAAAUUUCGAGGAUGAAAUUCUUAGAAGAAUGGGUGAAUGUGAUAUCCCAAAUAUUUAUGAGUUUAGUAAAUCAUGAUAUUAAUUUAUGAUGACAAUUGUGGGAUAAAAUGACCCUUAUAAAAAGGAAAUGGAUGGGUUAAAAAAUAUAUAAAUGCGAUACUCGAAAUAUUCUGAGUUCAAACAAAGGUUAUGAAAUAAAACUUACAAGAAUUUAUUGAGAAAAAUAAAUGGAGUAGAUAAUAUAAAAUCUAUAUGAAGGUAGUGCGUUGAGUUAUUCAACGAUAAAAUUUUAAAAGAUAAUUGAUAAAAACCGAGUAAGGGAGGUUUUGGUGAUUCCGAUAACGGAAUUCUUAUAAGAGGGGAAGAAUGUGACAACCUGGAUUAUCGAAAAUUAUUAAAAUAAAAAUUUAAUAAAUAAAAUUCUUAUUAUGAGAUGUGUCGAGUUUGAAUAAAUAUGUAUGUGUUUUGGAAUAUGUGAUUUGGUGUGACGAAAUUAUAUAUAUAUAUAUAUAUAUAUAUAUAUAUAUAUNNNNNNNNNNNNNNNNNNNNNNNNNNNNNNNNNNNNNNNNNNNNNNNNNNNNNNNNNNNNNNNNNNNNNNNNNNNNNNNNNNNNNNNNNNNNNNNNNNNNUGAGAGUUAAUAGUUAAUUAAACUAUUAAAGAAAGUGAAGGAAAUUAGUUAUGAAAUGGAAUAUAGAAGUGAAGAAAAAACAAUUAAUUAUAGAGAGAGCUUUGGAAGAUCAAUCAAAGGCAAGGAGGAGAUUGAGCAAGUCUUCUUCAUCAUGCAAUUAAGCUAAGGAAGGUUUAAGAGGUAUGAAAGAAAUUCUAAAAUUCCUAAUCUUGCUUCCUUAAGUUUUCUGUUAGAACUUAUUUUGCUUGUUUAAGAUGAAGAAAAUUCAAUUGAUGGAUAAACUGUUAGAUGAUUUGAUAAUAGCAUACAAAUGAAAUCAAAGUAAGCAAAUUUGAAUUUGUGUGUAAAGGGGAAGGAAUAGGUUGUUGGUCUAAUUUUAGACAUUUUAGGUCUAUUUUAUGGUUUAAAUUAGUUAUGAUCAUAUGGUUAAAGUUCUGAAUCAAAGGUUGUAUGUUAUACUCCUCUGAAAUACGAAAACAACCUAAUUUGAAUGAACAAAAACGGAGUUAAAACGAAUUUGUGGUGAAAGAUUUCGUAAAAGAUGUCAAAUAAGAAAAUCUAGCAUGAACAUUGAUAUUGAACUCUUAGAAUGGUUUGUUAGAGUUUCUGAGAUGUUAAAAUUACUCUGUAAAGAUAUACUUCAAUGUUUAACGAAAUUUUUGAGUCAAAAAGUUGUGAAUUUUGGAAGAAGAAGAGUUUAAAAACGCAAAUUGGGAAAACUAGUUCUGCAGUCGAGCGCUGCCGCGCUGCUUUUGGGCACGGUCGCGUUGCAACGUGGCCGUUCUGGUGUCAAGAGUAUAAUGGGUGCGACCGCGCCGGUAGCAGAUCAGGCCCAGUGAUGAGCUUUUAAAUGUAUGGUUUAGGGGCAAGUUUUUGGAAUUGAUUUAAUACACAUACUUAUAAUUAAGCAUGUAAUAUGAUAUAAUUCUAAGCCUUAAUCGUCUUAUUGAAUGUUAUGGUUAUAUAAUAAACAUAAAGAAAUAUUAUGUGAAUAACAUAAUGAUCUAGUAAACCUUAAAACACUUAUUAAAAGGCCAAGUGAUGGUUAAGAGAUAGAGAAUUAUGGAUCGUGGUAUGGAGUUAAUGAAAGCGUGUAGUAAGUGUCGAUAUAUGACUAAUUGUUAUGUCUACGUGAUUUGAAUGUGUAGGAUAUACGCAAAGUAGUUAAGCUAUACGUUGUAAUCAAUGCGACAUGCAAGUUUCACAGUUUAUUUAUGUGGAUUUGUAAAUUGAUAUGAGUUAACCAUUAAAAUGACUUAUGUUUAUCAUUAGGUGAAUGACCAAAGUCAACUUAUGACUAAUUUGUUUUGAGUUACGGAAUUCAGUCUACUGAAGCAUGUGAUAUAUGAUCAUUGAUAAGUUGAUGUUGCAUUGAUAAUAUGCGAAAAGAUGAUUAUGUAAGAAUUGAAUAUAAAAUUAUGUGCUUCGUGAUGCAUGAUAAGUUGUUAAACUUGAUGGGCCAUCGUGCUCAAUCUUGCUUAAUUUGCAAGUGAAAGCUAAGAUGCGAUAUUUUGUGAUCAAAAGCGCAUGAAAGGAAGGUUGGUUUUCUUAGUUGAGUUGGUAUUGGAUUAUGAUGUUAUUGUUUAUAUGUGUAAACAACAGAUGUGUUAAUCUUCAAAAUAUUCAAUAGAUGAAUAUUAUUUGCUCUAAAGGAGGUAUUAUGGAACUAUUUUGUAUGUAAAGAUUUCAUAGUUUGAAUCGUCAAUGGCAAAGAUGCUAUGUAUUGAAACUUGACAGUUUGUAAUUAGUUUAUUCUGAAUAAAUAAAUCAUAGAAAAAAUUUGAUUGUGAAAUAAAGGAAUUGGGAAGGUUGAGGUUCAGGGAAUAGAAGAAAGAGAGAAAAUUUUAAAAUAUCCUAAAUUUCAGCAAUUUUUAACAUUGAAUGGUGAUGUAAAGCUAGUACAGAAUAGUUGUUAACGCACAAGGUCGGGAUUAAGUUAGUCCUGAUUUUUUUUGGGUCGUUCCAAUCAUUUUGCAUUUUAAAAUUAUUAUUUAUGUGGACGCAAAUUUAUUGGGUCAAAUGUUUCACUUCCUCUGUUUAAAAUAAAUACCAAUUUUAAUUUUUUGAUCAAAAGUUAUGAGCAGAUAUAGAUAUUUUUUCUAAUUUACAAAAAUUAGAGUUUGUAGUAAAUUGGAUGUAGUUUAUAUUGAUCAUAUUUGCUCAUUUGUAAUUUUGAAAAAUGUAAUUAAUUUCUAAAAUAAUUUAUAUGAAUUUUUUCUUGUAACUCGUUAUUUUUACAUAUAUAUGUUUUGACAAGGGUUGAACAAGUAACUGAAAUCGCACCAAAAACUGACCAUACCAUGUUUAUGGAUUAAAUGUGAUUAUGUGGUGAGUUAGAUACCAUGCUUUAUGAAUUGUUAAAGUCAAAAUAUGACUAAGUUAAUUGAGUUAUGGAACUCAAUUUAUAUGUGAUAUGUGAUAACACAUGUUGUAUAUGAUGUAACUCGAUAAAUGAGAAAUGUAUAAUGCAUGAAUAUAUGCAUUGCAAGGAAUUAUUGAUGCAUGCAGAUAUGCAUAGUAAAGAAAAUAUGGUGCAUAUGGAAUUGUGUGCUAUGUGAAACAUGAUAGACUGUUAAAUUUGUUGGGCUGUCGAGCUCAAUCUUGCAAACACAAACUUUUUGCAGGUUAAUGAUGUUAAGCAAUAUUACUUGCUACUAUACGGAUGAUGAAAAUUGAACGAUGUGCAAAAUGAAUACAUUUCCUUGAAUUAGAAAUGGUAUAAAUCUAUGAUUGAUAGUUUUGUUAAAUGUAAUUGGUAGUUAUGUAUAGUUUGAAAUGUUGAAUGGAUAAAGAAUGUUUAUUCUGAAAUGAGAAUAAAUAUGAUUCUGAAAUAAGUAAAUCAUCGAUAGAAAAGAUAUUAAGUAUUGAGACUUAAGUUUUUAAUACGUUUACUCAGAUUAUACAAAUCAUAUAAUAAAUAUGAUUUUAGUAUAAAGAAGAAUCGUCAAGGUUGCGAUUCAGUGAACGAUGAAUGACAAAAAAAAUUGUUUUUCCGCAUUUUUAGCAAUUUUAACAUUAAAUAAUGUUUUAAAACUAGAACAAUAUAAUAUUAAUGCACAAGAUCAGAGAUAGAAAUUGUCCCGAUUUUGGGGGCGUUACACAUGUUACACCAGUUUGUUAUCUCUGCUUUUCUUGACAUUCAAAAAUCAAGCUUAAUAACUUAAUUUAACACCUCAGAAUAACAAUAUAUCCAUUACUAUUUUCUCGCGAUGAAUGCCUUAAUUCAUCUCCUAAAACUCUAUUCGAGUUUAUCUCCUUAUAAUUCCUCUCAGGUCAUAUCCUAAGGUACUCUUACCCUAGAGCUAUAACCUACUGCUCUGAUACAUUUGGGGAAAAAUUAGGGUUUUGAUUGAGAGAAAUGAACUAAGCGAAUAUGGAUGAAAAACUAGGGUCUCGAUAGAGAGAAAGGGACUAGGUGAAAAUACUAGGGUUUCCAUAGAUUCUUUUGGUGUAGUCAAUAUUUGUGAGAGUAGUUGUUUAAGUAAGUGAGAUUUGGUGAAAUCAAUUUACUUCUAUGGAUUAGAGGCUUUGAUAUAAAAUGCAAGGACAAGAGUUAAUUUGUCACACCACCAUAUGGAAUGACUCACUUAUUCGCUUUCAGUUUAUACAUAUAUAUGCGUGUAUAUAUGUGUGUGUAUAUAUAUACAUAUAAAUAUAUAUAUAUAUAUAUACACACAUACACACACACAAACAUAUAUGUACUAUAUAUUUUUAUGCUUGAUGAUAAUUUAAAAAGUUGUUAAUACAUUUGAUCAUAUGUAUGUGCAUAUACCAUAGAGAGGUAAGAUAGUGAAAAUGAGGACAAUUAUAAAGAUUGUGAAGAGAGAAGAAGUUGGAUUCUUUUGAAGUCGACUUUUAAGGGCUUAUAAUUGAAAAAAUAUAAGUCACAUAUACGAGUCUUUUCGAUAAAGGCCCAAAGCCAAUCGAUGAGGUGAGUUUCAUAGAGUUUAGUGGGUCGAGCUCGCGCUUAGGAAACUAAAUCAUAAUUUUAAUUGAGGUUGAGCAGUCUUGGGCCCAACUUACUAAAUUCAAUUGACAAUCCUAACCCUAGAUAUAUUUCCUAAUGUUAUUUUUCAGCUAUAAAAACUCCUAUUCUAGUAUCUUUCCUCUUUGCCUCUUUAGUCUCUCAAGUUCUCGAUUCUUAAGCCCUAGCCACUUCAACAAAGAUGCUUAUGUUGCUGCUUUUGGUCGUUGAUAAGUAUUUUUCGUGUAAUGAGCUAUCGCGAUGUACCACCAUUUAUUAGCAUUAGGUAAAGAAUUUAUUUCUCUUUAAUUAUAUAUUGAUCUCUUAUUUGUUUUUCAUUUUCUACACAUCUCUAUAUCUCCCAUUUUCAUCUCUAAUAAAACAUCUAAUAAUGGUAGGUUUAACUCUUAUCAUGUUCUUCCUUAAGAAUGACAAGUUUGUCUUCUAAUAAGAAAGUUUGUCGGUAUUUCUGUCCAUAACUAUUUCUUGUGAGUUUAACAAUUUUUUAUUCGAUUUGUUUACAAUUCUAAAUGACUUGUCGAUCUAAUGUAUUGAAAGUUUUUCUCUAGCCGAUUGAGAUUUAACUUGAUCUCGACUAUAUUAUAUUAGUGUGGAUAUUGAAAAUAGUGUACAUUACGUACAUUUUAAUUGUAAUUGUUAGAUCUUUUCUUUAAAAAUAAAUUUUAAAUUAGCAAAUGAUUCAUUUCCUGAAUAAGGAAUUUAGUAGUAAACGAUAUUUUAAUUUUUAAAUAUUUUUUUAUUAAUAUUAAAAAGUUAAUUUUGGUCUUUUAAUUCCAAACGGAAGUAGUGUAUUAUUUUUUCGGCUUGUUUAUGCGAAAAUUAAUUUCUUAAUAUACAUUAAGACUAUAUAUUAGUCAGUUCACUUCUUCUAUUCUGCUAUGUAUAAAACAUAAAUAUCUUUUACCAUAACAUAUAUGAUUUACUAACCAAAUCUUCAUAAUUGUACACACGAAUACACACAUGACAUAUAUGUCCCUCCUUUCCUUCUCCAGCCUCUUCCUUCCCUUAACUUACUGUCUUUCAUGAUGCUGGCUUGUAUAUAAAUUCAAUUCAAUACGUAUAUGGAAGUUUGUAAGAUUUAGAGGAAUAAGAUACAACAACUUCACUGUUUUAACCCUAGUAAAUAUAUAUAUUUCUCCAUAUGUCAAUAUAUUUAUCCAUAGUGACCUAUUUCAUACUUUACAGGGCAUGAUCGAUGUUCAUGGCAUUUCAAUAUUAGAAAUAAUGUUGCUGAUUUUAAAGGUAAAAUGUUGUCGCACUCUAAUAUAUAUUGUUGAUAUUUUCAAAACAUUUCUUAACCUCUUAUUUAAUCUAGCCUUAAUACCAAAAAAAUGUGGGCAACAAUAUGAUUAACAUUAUGUAAAACACAAAUAAGAACUGUUCUUUAAAAGUGGAAAGACCGUGAUUAUCCUUUAUACAAUGUAUGCUAAUUUCUCUAAGCAGAGAAUUUAAACUAGUAAAAUGAGCCCAAAUAUAUAGUUAAGGAAUCUUCUACUGUGUUUUCCUCCCUGUAGAUAUAAUUAGGUAAUUAAUUUGCCAUAUGGAACAUUAAAAAAUAGAAAUUUUUGAGAAGCCCAGCUGAUGUCACAAAUAAGCUAAAUGAGAUAAAGAGCUUUACAUUUAAUCUUGAACCAAAAAAUUCCAAACAAUGUGUGUCGACGUCAAAGAGCAAUGAAUAAAUAAAUGGUCCAUAAAUUCUUAAGUAAGAUAUGCACAACAUCAUUUAGGCACAAUUUGGAUACUUAAGCCUAAUUAACAUGAUUCUAAGAUACUUAUUUUGAAGCCUUGUUUCAUAACACAGGUCAGCCAAAAAACUUCCUUGAGUGUGAAGAAAUCCGAGACAAUUAAUAAUGUAACAAUGUUACGCGAGAAGGAAGGUAUUUCUGAAUAUUUUUCAAAAUUUCUGCAGACAUUUCAAGGAUGAAUAUAAACUAGAUGAUUGUGGCAUAGGAAAGAACUCCAGCUAGCCUUCAUCUUCUUGUAAAGAACACAAUAAAAGUAUUUGUUAGUAUAUCAUCAAAUGGGAUUAUAUCCUACAUAUAAAAUUGCCCGUGAUUCAGAUAUUUGUGAUCAAGCAUUGAAGUGGCAAAACCAUAAGCCUUUGCGGAAGUACUUCUACAGGGACAGACACUGAAGAAUGAAUUUUGUCCAAGUAAUUAUAGUAUUAAAAAGAAUACUUUGUUCAAUGUGUUUUAAUGUUAAGAGUAUUGUACGUUCAAGUAUUUUCUUUUAUACAAGUGAAUGUACUAGGAUAUAUGUCAAGCUUAUAAGAAAUUGAACACAUACUAUUAAGAGUGUUGUUCGAACAUUUUCUUUUUAUGCAAAUGGAUGUACUUAGGAUAUAUGUCAACUUUACAAAAAAAUUGAAUAAUGUGUAUUUUGCAAAUUGAAUAACUUAUACAAAUGGA
This 14317-nucleotide long non-coding RNA is filed under the name Panax ginseng (ginseng). Its description in RNAcentral is "long non-coding RNA (PGIN_LNC010813)". The record is from RNAcentral. Lineage: Eukaryota; Viridiplantae; Streptophyta; Magnoliopsida; Apiales; Araliaceae.